GUUGAUAUUAUCACAACCUGGAUGGUUUGGGCUAUGGAAUGGAGGCAAUGAUUAUAUUCUCAAAGACGAUUGGGAAAGAGGGAACAGAUAAGGAGCCCAAACCAUUAGUUUAUAUAUAGCCUAGUGUUUAGCACUCAGCUCCAUCCUUUGCAUUAACCCCAGGUCUCCCUCCAUCUAUAAGAGUGCCAUGUCAUCAGCUGCCCUGCAGGAAGCUGGUCUGGGUGGCAGGACUCCCAUCUUGUCUGGGGAAGCCAAGCUGCUUGCUGGGGAGUAAUCCCCUCAGGAG
This is a long non-coding RNA of Corapipo altera (White-ruffed manakin), 286 nucleotides long. RefSeq lists it as uncharacterized. The record is from RefSeq and is a predicted model, not a curated record. NCBI's taxonomy places the organism in Eukaryota, Metazoa, Chordata, Aves, Passeriformes, Pipridae. The transcript has 3 exons.